GGAAUUAAUCUGCAGCUGUAAUUUGGGGAACGCGUUUCCUUAAAUUAAAACGUCUUCUGCAUUUUUAUUUUCUUCUCUCUCUGCUCUCGCCGCUCAGACGCUCUCUGCUCGGUCUCUCUCUGAUUUUCUCUGCAACACAAGUGCUUAGUUCUGCUAGCGAAGAACUAAUCGCUCGACACGAACACUAAGUGUGGACUUGAUAGAGGGGAUACGCUUGGAUCCCUGCGAGCAACCGAUUGCUUCCAUUCCCG
Molecule: long non-coding RNA, 251 nt
Filed under: Salvia miltiorrhiza (redroot sage)
Lineage: Eukaryota; Viridiplantae; Streptophyta; Magnoliopsida; Lamiales; Lamiaceae
Description: long non-coding RNA (SMIL_LNC001712)
Source: RNAcentral